This 499-nucleotide long non-coding RNA is filed under the name Phoenix dactylifera (date palm). RNAcentral's name for it is "long non-coding RNA (PDAC_LNC011860)". Lineage: Eukaryota; Viridiplantae; Streptophyta; Magnoliopsida; Arecales; Arecaceae. The record is from RNAcentral.
CACAAGAAGUAGUAGGAUAAGUUUGAUCUUUAUAGAUAUGAUAGCAUAAUUUAAAAUGUGGAACUAUCUAUAUCCUUUUCUAUGAUUUAUCAUAAUAAGAAUCCAUAUAUGCAGCCUGUUUACCUAAUUUCACCCAACAAUACUCAAGAAAAUUUAGCAAAAUCCAAAAGCAAUUCCUCAACCACUAACUAUAACAUAUUAUGACUUCUUCAUAACUAACUUCAAAAUGCCCCUUCUCAUCUCUUUCCUAAAUAAAAUCAGAGUUACUUAUUUAUUACUUUGCGGCUGAUCUGAGAUGCCGACACAGACCACCUUUGUGGAACUGCAAGGCAAGAGGCAAGGGUUAGAAAACUCAUCAGAUUGGCUCCGGUCGAGCCCUUUGAUGCUUAAGUCAGAGAAUUUUUGGUGGAAAGUAAGGAAGAAAAAUGAAAAAUCAAUGAGGUAGAAUGCCGCUCCAUUAAAGAGAAUUUUUGAUUGCCUUUCUUAAAGGGGCUUCAGG